This 69-nucleotide transfer RNA is filed under the name Goniada japonica. RNAcentral describes it as "tRNA-Gln". It matches the Rfam family "tRNA". From Rfam's summary of the family: Transfer RNA (tRNA) molecules are approximately 80 nucleotides in length. Their secondary structure includes four short double-helical elements and three loops (D, anti-codon, and T loops). Lineage: Eukaryota; Metazoa; Annelida; Polychaeta; Phyllodocida; Goniadidae. The record is from RNAcentral.
UGUAAGAUAGUGUACGGUGCACACUUGCCUUUGAAGCACAAAGAAAAGGUUCAAUUCCUUCUCUUACAA